RNAcentral lists this unclassified non-coding RNA (306 nucleotides) under plant metagenome. RNAcentral's name for it is "partial contains 5.8S ribosomal RNA, internal transcribed spacer 2, and large subunit ribosomal RNA". The stretch from base 1 to 105 matches the Rfam family "5.8S ribosomal RNA", at positions 50 to 154 of the family's 154-position model. The record is from RNAcentral.
GAAAUGCGAUAAGUAAUGUGAAUUGCAGAAUUCAGUGAAUCAUCGAAUCUUUGAACGCACAUUGCGCCCGCCAGUAUUCUGGCGGGCAUGCCUGUCCGAGCGUCAUUUCAACCAUCAAGCCCCCGGGCUUGUGUUGGGGGCCUGCGGCUGCCCGCAGGCCCUGAAAACCAGUGGCGGGCUCGCUGUCACACCGAGCGUAGUAGCAAUCACCUCGCUCAGGGAGUGCUGCGGGUUCCGGCCGUUAAACAGCCUUACAAAACCCAAGGUUGACCUCGGAUCAGGUAGGAAGACCCGCUGAACUUAAGC